This 128-nucleotide ribosomal RNA is filed under the name Paraphaeosphaeria pilleata. RNAcentral's name for it is "5.8S ribosomal RNA". The stretch from base 17 to 128 matches the Rfam family "5.8S ribosomal RNA", at positions 1 to 112 of the family's 154-position model. Rfam says of the family: 5.8S ribosomal RNA (5.8S rRNA) is a component of the large subunit of the eukaryotic ribosome. It is transcribed by RNA polymerase I as part of the 45S precursor that also contains 18S and 28S rRNA. Lineage: Eukaryota; Fungi; Ascomycota; Dothideomycetes; Pleosporales; Didymosphaeriaceae. The record is from RNAcentral.
UACAAACAAUCGUUACAACUUUCAACAAUGGAUCUCUUGGCUCUGGCAUCGAUGAAGAACGCAGCGAAAUGCGAUAAGUAGUGUGAAUUGCAGAAUUCAGUGAAUCAUCGAAUCUUUGAACGCACAUU